GUGGGCAGCGUGUGAGGGCCCGGAUGCCCCUCCCCGGCACCUUCUCCUCCCUGACCCCGGCAGAUUCAGCCCAGCCCUUCACUCUGGGUACGCGCAGCCGGGUCUCAGGACGGCAGGCCCAGGAACGGGAGUGGGGGGUCAGGCCUGGCAUUCUGUGGGUGCCCAACAGAUGCCAGCUUUGCGUGCCGGAGAGAAGGGCAGGGUUUGAUCGGCUCCUCGAGAGGCCCCAGGGAGGACCCGGCCCCGCGGGCCCCUCAUCCUGGGGCCAGGACCCAGACCGGGACAAGGGCCGUUUCCUCGCUCCUGCCCUUCCCCCUCCCCCGUGAUGGGGGUGGGGCUCUUCCUGGGGCAGAUCUCUCGGGGUGGGGGUGGGGGGCAGGGAGCCCGGCCUGGUCCGUCAGAGCCUCCCUCCCGGAGUCCAAGGCGCCCCCUCCCCCAGUGUUUACAGAGGACUCGCCCCGCCUCUUCCCUGUCCCCGCAGCCCCAGUGUCCAAGGCCUCCCCUAAGGGUGGGCAGCGCGCCCCCCCUCGGGCUCCCAGGCGGCCCCGCGGCGGGUUACGGCCACCGAGCUCCCCUCCCCCCGCCCGGGCCCCAGAGCCCUGGGGGGAGGGGCGGCCGCCUAAAAUAACCCGGCCCCGCGCGGCGGGAGGGGGGGCGGGGCGCUUGUUGUUGUUGUCACGUCGCAGUGGCCGCGGGGGGCGGGGGGAGGAGAACGCGUGACCGACCCCGCCCCCCACGCGUCCGCCCCGCCCCGCUCGGCCAAUCCGGGGCCCCGCCGCCCCCGGGCCCAGAGGAACCGGGGCGGGCGGCGUUGGCGGCCCUGGGGAGAGAGACGGAGCGCGGCGGGCCCGGCCAGUCAGUGUCGGGGUCACGGUCGGCGGCGGUACCUGCGCCGGCUGCGGCCCGUCCCCUCCCGCCUCACCGCGGCCCAGGAGCAGCGGCACAAGCGGCACAAGCGGCCGCCGCGACCCCCGUGAGCCCCGCAGCCGCCCCCGGCCCCCCCGGCCAGGCCGCGUUCUCCGCCGGCUCCCGCCGAACCCUAGCCCGGGCCCAUGGCGCAGAGCGGGCAGCCCCCGCCCGAGGAGAACCUGCAGGGUGAGUGCCAGGCUGGGCCCCGAGGCCUCCCCCCCAUCUCCGGGAUCUCUGGGCUCUCCGAGAGGGGCAGCGCGCGCCGGUGCCUGGAACCCGGGCCCCGGCCCCCAAUCCCUGGCCCCCCAUCCCUGGGCCCCUCCCCCCAUCUCCGGGAGGGGCAGCGCGCGCCGGUGCCUGGAACCCGGGUUCCCCGCCCCCCCCCAGCCCCUCCCCCAUCCCCGGGCUCUCCCGGGGGUCAGCGCGCGCCUGUGCCCGGAACCCGGGGCCCCGAGCCCUCCCCCCCAUCCCCGGGCUCUCCGGGAGGGGCAGCGCGCGCCGGUGCCUGGGACACCCGGAGGUCUGUGGGCGAGGGGGAGGGGCGUGGAGUUCGGGCCCGGGAGCGCCCAGGGGCCCGGGCUCCAGGAGUCGCUGGGCGGAUGUCCGCUCGCCCCCCCCCCCCAGGCUGAGGUUGCGAUCUCGCGCUGGGAAAGGCCGCGCUCGAGCCCGGGGCUGUGCAGAGAAUGGGGGGCUCGGGGCCGGGACCCCGAGUCGGCUCCUCCCCCUGCCCCCCCAAGCGCCGGGUCUGCCCGCCGAGGCCAGCCCCCGCCCCUGGUCCAGGACGGGCCGGGAGGCUUCCUUAUCUGCCCACUUCAGACUGAGGAUCAUUCCCGGGGCCCGAGGGAGCCCCACCCUCCCGAGCCGAAGGUUCUUGGGUGGAGCUGCACUUCAGCAGUAAUGGCAAUGGGCACAGUGCUGUGCCAGCCUCCAUCUCGGCCUACAAUGGCGACAUGGAGAAGAUUCUUCUGGAUGCACAGCAUGAAUCUGGAAGGAGCAGCUCCAAGAGUUCUCACUGUGACAGCCCACCUCGUUCCCAGACGCCCCAGGACAUUAACAGAACUUCCGAAGCAGACGCUCACAGCAUUGGAGAGAAGAACAGCUCCCAGUCGGAAGAAGAUUACCUGGAAAGAAGGAAAGAAGUGGAGAGCAUCCUGAAGAAAAACUCCGACUGGAUCUGGGACUGGUCCAGCAGGCCUGAAAACAUCCCCCCAAAGGAGUUUCUUUUUAAGCACCCAAAGCGCUCAGCCACUCUCAGCAUGAGGAACACGAGUGUCAUGAAGAAGGGGGGCAUCUUCUCAGCGGAGUUCCUGAAGGUCUUCCUCCCGUCCCUGCUGCUCUCUCACUUCCUCGCCAUUGGCUUGGGGAUCUACAUCGGAAGGCGGCUCACCACCUCCACCAGCACCUUCUAGGCAGCAGGGCCGGAGCGCGGCGGGCGCCGUCUCUGAGCAUGCAGCAGGGGACCCGGAGGAGGUCCCUCCGUUCGGGAUGGCUCCCGCGGCUUGUGUUCAUUUGUUGUGUAAAUGUCGUGUUCCUAGUUCAGUAGAAAGGGAGGAUAGUCCGUGUAUUCAUUCCCCCAGCACAGGGAGCAGCUCAGACGGAUCCGGCCCCUCUCGGGGGUCGCCCUCGUUCUCGGGUGCAAGCCCUCCCGUCCCGAUGCCGAGACCUGGACUCCUACGAGCUCCCCGAGCUCCCCACUUCCCCAUAGCAGUCGCUGCUCCUGUGAACAAGUGAAUCAUGUCAUUAUUAAAAAGCAUUGUGUUUAGGGGCGCUGUAGUCACAUGGGGUCCCAGAAUGCCUUCCGUGCCCAUUUGCCCUGCCUGUGGUCCCAGAACGCCCCUCCAUGCCCGUUUGCCCUGCCUGGGGUCCCAGAAUGCUCCUCUGUACCCGUUUGCCCUGCCUAUGGUCCCAGAACGCCCUGUGCCCAUUUACCCUGGCUGUAGCAGCCACUUGGCAAAGACUCCCUGCCCUUCUUCUGGGCACAGUGGGGAGUGAGGGAGGAAGCCUGCGAGGUGGGCCGCUUGGCUUGGCACAGUGUCCAGCAGCAACGGAUGUCUCCUCUGGCCCCAAAGCCGACUUGUUUCCCGCAUGGGGCCCGGCGUGGCUGGCAGCGUAGCAGAUGGUCCUCCCUGCUGGCUCAGCUCCCUGCCCUGUGCUCCCCGCCAGGCCCACACUGUGCCCUGAAGCCCCUGAAACCGGAAUGGGAACAAACGCCUCUAGGUUGCCAAACCCUUCCAUGGCGCCCACGUUGGGGGCCGGUUCACCCGAGUCAUGCGCCCCCUGAGCGCCACAUCCUCCCUUGUUCCCUGGGGAAAAUCUUUUGUGAAAGGAGGUCACGUCUGUGCCAGGCUGGACACACUCUGGUUUCUCUUCGUCUCUGACGUCCCUCCCGCUCAUCUGGGCGAAAUAAAUGCGACCUUUUCAUUUGACAAGGAAACUGCUCCUUCUCUGCCCUCAGCCGCCCUCCCCAGGCAGGAACGGGCCCCACGCCGGCUACCCUCGUCUGGUCAGGCCGUUAGGCCCCUCCCCCAGCCCCUCUGAGGUGGGGAGUGCAGGCCCCCAGAAGGAGGUCCCUCUCGGCCCCCUGCCCAUCAUUAAGUUCGGUGCCCAGUAAUGGCCAAGUGCCCAAGUACGUAAAAAACGCCGGAUCUUCGCCGUCUCUCCCCUUUAGCGCUGAGGAGUUCCCUCGUGCCCAGAAGCCCCUUUCCUGUAACAGAAUAGAAAGCCUGUCCCCUAUGGGGACGCCUCAGCCCGGGGGCUCUGCAGGGAGGGCGGCUGUGGGCAGGAGACCUCCCGGCUCUGACGGGCCUCACUGCUGACUUCGCUCCCUUGGCCUAGAGCCUGCCCUUAGUCAGCCUGUCGGUCCACCCAGAUUCUCCUCCAGUCUUGGCCAUUUGGGGCAACUGAGGCCCCAAGGUAAGUGAGACCGUCAGGAUCCGUGAUGUUCACCCAGGGCAGACAGCCUGAUCCCCAAAAUGUCCGUGAUGCUCCGAGCGACACUGCCCGACUCCCCACUGAUGAGAAACUGCUUUUGAGUGGAUGCAAAGGACCUACUGUGUGCUGGGCACACAAGCUGGGGAGCAGGGCCUGGGGCUCCAGGUGGUGACAGGGAGUUGGCAAAGCCCACUGGAGGGUCACAGCAGGGCAAGCACGGGGUGCCCAGCUUGGCUGGUGGAAAUGCCCUGGUCAUGUCAUUGUCAUGUCCUUAAAUGGCCUAAAAGGGGCCUGGACACGAGCGGUGGCCAAAGGGGACCCAGACACCAGCUGUGCCCCAAAGGGUCUGUGGGCUGGUCAUGCUAAGGAGCACUUGGGGUGGUCCCUUCAUGUCCUCAGCCCCCCUUUCUCAGGAUCUCCACCUCAACCCCACACAGAGGACAAGCUGGGCAGCCUCCCAGUGAUUGGCAUGAGGCGGUCGGGAAGAGCUGGGCUGAACACAAAGCCAUGGACAGGGAGCCUUUCAGCCUCUCUGGCUGUGUCCCCCCCUCCUCACUUUGUACAAAACCCAACAUGGCGGCAUCCAGCGUUCAUAAAAGCCCAACAGCGGAGGAGCUUUGGGUUGGGCUGUAAUGUCUGAAGACCCGGAUGUGGCCCCCGUGUCCCGCCCUGCCCCUCCCUUCCCCAGGGAUGCUCCAGAAAGUGAGGCCAUUGAAUGGGAUGUUCCGGACUGUGGGGUAGAGGUCGGGCUCACCCAGCCGUGGGGGAGAGGAAAGGGGCGGAACUUGCAGCGUUCCCCCUGCAUCGCCCAGCUCUGCUUUCAGGAAUCCCCCAAAGGUGUCCCAGCUGACUGUGGCUGGCUCCCCCCAGCCCAGGGCUCGGGUGGCGCUCACCCUGCCUCCGGGUCCCUAGUCCUCUGUCCUUGAGACCUCCAGGCCUUCGGGGCGAUGGAGCCCACAUCACUCGAUGCCAGGGAAGGCCGGGUCUCGGGCCCUUUCAGCUGUCACUCUGUUGGGUCCGGCAGCUUGUGCCAGGGUCUGCCACUGCCCUAGUCGUUCCUGAAGCUCUAACCCUGCUGCCACCCUUCCCUGUGCUUCCCUGGAGGGCCCUCGUGACCAUGGGAGCCUCGGGCGGCCGCCUGGCUUUCCUUCCUCCCACCCCAUGGCUCGGCAGUCUGCCUUUAUCUCCCCUGUCUCAUUUUAAAGGUCAGGCUGAGCAGGAGAUCACUGACGCCUGCCGCUCUCUGGUCCUUUGCCACCAUGGCAACGAUCCCCUAAUAGGGCGGGCAGGAAGGCCCAGAAGAAGUGGCAGAAGUUGGCAGACCACCUGGCCAUGGCCCCCAGAUCCUGCUACAGAGGCCAGGGGGGAGCAGUCCUCCCCAGCCCAUGGCCGGAAGAGGGCCACGUGACCUGGCAACAACAUAUCCAGGGGCUCCGGGGCCAGUCCCACUGAAAAAGGGAAGUUCUCACCUCCAAAGUCUCACCAUCUGGACACCAUCUGGGUGAUCGGCACCGAAAAGGACAUGACUGUGGCCAUUCUGCCCGAGCCCAUUCCUGGGCUGUCCCACAAGCCCCGUGUCCUCAGCUUCCCAGAUGGGCUUUGCCGGUGCUUAUCCCGGGCACCACGGGUUUGCUUGGAGACGUUUGUGCCAGGCUGUGGGCUGGCUCCCUGAGGGCAGAGACCGGCUGCCAGCUGUGCCCGGUUGCCAGCUGUGCCCGAUAUGCCGCUGCAUAUGAUAUGCCGCUGCCGAGCACCCUGAGACUGAUCCCCUGGGAUAAGGGGGAACCUCCCUUUUUUCCUCAAUGAUUAACUGGCCCCAUCUGGUGAAUCUGAAUUGGCUGCCAUUGUUCAAAGCCCCUUAUCUCCUCCCUCCCAGGGACCCAUUCUAAAGCUCCCCUGUGCUCCCGGUGACAAGCUGGCCUUGCUUCCCUCCUUCUGACUCAUUGAGACUGGACUGGAUGAUGCAGCCUCCAGGGCACCCUUCUAGAACUGCCUGUUCUCUCGCUCCCCGGUUACUGACGGGGAGCUGGAGUCCUCCUGGCUCCCUUCAGCCACCAUCACUUCCUAUGGACUCACUCAGCCCGGAUCUACCCUGUAGUCACAAUUCUAGGGCUACUGUCAGCCAGCCUCCGGGACCCCAGAGGUCUGCCUUUCUAAAACAUUCAGUGAUGGUCCCUUCUCCUCCUCAGCCCCCCUUUCUCAGGAUCUCCACCUCAGCCCCCCACAGAGAGGGUCAGAUCCUGGCUCUCGCCUUCACCCACAAGGGUUCCCCUCUGAACUCUGGAAUCCCCUUCCCCGAGUCAUUUUACCCCCACUCCCUUGUUUAUUAUUCUCACCAUGUGCCUCCUGGCCCAGUUCUUUCCCACAGCCUUCCCUCUGCAGUGUCUGCUCCUGGCUUCCCCCAUCUUGACCCCUUGGAAGACUCUGUGCGCUGUCUUCCCUCCGGUCCCUGGGCCCCUUAUCCCGUCAGGAGUCUGCCUGCCAAGCCUCAGCCUUGGCUCACCACCCACCCCUCGGUCACUCCUUCACCUGCUGCUAAAUGUGCUGACUGGCGACCCUACGAGGCUGCCCUGAGCGCUGGGACACAAAGAAAGGGAGAGCCCGGCUCUGCCCCGUCUAAUGGAGGCGGUGGCAAACAUACACGGGAUCAGCUGGAGGGAAUGGCAGGCGAGCAGAAGGGGAAGAGGAGCAGGGAGAGGAGUCCAGGAUGGGGGACGUGCCCAAGCUCAGAGAUGGGGUGCCAUGCCCUGGGAUUGACAAGGGACCAGUAUCACUGGACUACUCGUGUAAGAGAAAUGAAAUGGAGGGACGGGGCCAGGCUGGAAAGGCUUUGGGUGCCAGAGUAAGACUUAGCUGGAUCCUGGAGGCGAUAGGAGCCACUGGAGUUUAUUGAGUGGGGCAUGGGAUGGUCAGACUUGUUCACUUGGGCAGCUGAACGGAGGGUGGACUGGUAUAGAGAAAGACUGGAGAUAAGCAGACUCACCAGCAGCUUUGCAUGUAUCUCUGCAGGCAUUUUGAGAAUCAAAAGCUAUUAUUUAAAGUAAACAAGUAAAAUAAUUCCUUAAAAAAUACAAUUGAUAUAAUGCAAAAAAAAAAAAAAAUCCACGAAAGAAAACAUCUGGAAAGGUAAGAUUAAUCAAAUGGAAAAAGAGAUAUAAAAACUAGAACUGGGCAAAUGGAAGCUAACGACUGAGACAACAAGAAUCGGUCAAAUAAACAAAAAUGAAUGAAAAAAGGAAGAAAAUGCAAAAUACCUCAUUGGAAAAAUAUAUCCAGGAGAGAACCAUUUAAAAAUUAUUGGCCUACCUGAAGGCCAUGACCCCCCCCCCAAAAAAAAAAGUCUUCCCCUCUCAGAAUUAGAUAAAUCUAACCACAAAAUAAACAAACUAGGGGGAUUAGUUUCUAUGAUGAAUUCUUUUGGCCAAUUUGUUUUUUAGGAUUAGAUUAUUUAGUUUCCAAUUGGUUUUUAGUCUAUCUUUCCAUGGUCCUUUAUUGAACACAAUUUUUAUUGCAUCAUGAUCUAAAAAGAAAGCGUUUACUAUUUUUGCCUUUCUGCAUUUGAUUGUGAGGUUUUUAUGCCCUAAUACAUGAUCAUUUUUUUACAUAGAUGCCAUGUACUGCUGAGAAAAAGGUAUAUUUCUGUCCCUAUUCAAUUUUCUCCAGAGAUCUACCAUAUCUAAUUGUUCUAAAAUUUUACUUUAUCUCAUUAACUUCUUUUUCAUUUAUUUUUGGUUAGAUUUAUCUAGUUCUGAGAAGGAAAAACUGAGCUCUCUCCUAGGAUAGUUUUAUUAUCUAUUUCCCUCUAACUCAUUCAACUUCAAAAAUUUAGAUUAUAUAUAGAAUCUAUCUAUAUAUCUCUAUAUAGAUUCUAUAUUUGCACAUAUAUGUUUAGUUUUAAUAUGAGUUCAUUGCCUAUAGUACCUUUCACGAAGAGAGCUUUUUUCUUUAUGUCUUUUAACUAGUUAAAUUUUUGCUUUUGCAAAAUGUGACAUCAUGAUUGCUAGCCUGCUUUCUUUGCUUCAGCCCCAGGGGCAGGGCUCUGCUGCUGGGUUGCUGUGAACACAGGGACUCUGCUAGUAGGCCCCACAGUGGGGUCUCACUGAUGGUCAGCCCCAGGGUGAUGCUACAUUAUAGAUCAGAAAUGGGAUCAAAGCCUGGCUGGUGGUUUGUGCUUGACCUUGUUGAUCUGCUCCCUUACCUAAGGGAUGCCAGUUUGCAGGUCUCACUGGUGAAUUGCUCCAGGAUUAGAGCCUUGCUGCAGACCCCCUAAUGUGAGGCUGGCUGCUGGCCAGUUGCUAAUGCUGCUGUUGUUCUGGAACCUCCAUCCCCUCCUACCCCUAUAGAGGGCCAGGAGCUAAGAAUCCGUUUCAGGUUUUGAAACUUGGCUCAUCUAUUUCCCUCUUGAUUUGAAAUAGCAGAGACAGACAAAUAUAUUGAUAAAGAUCCUGGUGACUGAAGAAAAAUGCAAUGAGCUAUAUAAUAGAUUAAAGACAUACCUUUGAGCUUAGGACAGGAAAAGCAGCUCACAAUGGAGACCUAAGGCAUUUGGGAGAAAUGUACUUGAGGACAUUGCUCUGAUGAUUUUGCUCUGAUGUGCAUCACAGCUAUUUGCAAUUUUGAAGUGGCCAAAAUCUGGGCUUAAUCAUUUGCAUCUCAGUAGACUGAGCUUGUUAGAAAGAAUAUGGGAUAUAGAAGAGUGUAUUUUGUAUCGACUCUAUAAGCAUUGGAAUCAUAUACAUAUAUAUAUAUAUAUAUAUAUAUAUAUAUAUGUCUCUCUGACCAAUAAAUUUGAAGAUUUCAUAACAAAGUCUUUCGCCUUGGCCCCCUGAUUUCCACAUCUUUAUCACUAUUGGAGCAGAACUUCAACACUACCCCAAUAGGAGAUACCUUUCCUGUAGGGCAUAUUAUAAGCUGCUGCCCUGCUCCUGGAUCCAAUUCCUUUUUUUCCCCAAAAAACAUAUGUGUGGACAAUUUUUCAACAUUAGCAUAAAAUUUUGUGUUCCAAUUUCUUCCCUUCCCCCAUGCCGUCCCCCAGAUGGCAAGUAGUCCAAUAUAUGUUAAGCAUGGUAGGAGUAUAUGUUAAAUCCAAUAUAUGCAUCAUAUUUACACAAUUAUUGUGUUGCACAAGAAAAAUCAAAUCAAACCAGUAAAGAGAGAGAAGCAAAAUAAAAGGCAAGCAAACAACAAAAAGAGAAUGCUACAUCGUGAACCACCCUCAGUUCCCACAGUUCUCUCUCUGGGUGUAGAUGGGUCUCUAUCACAAGAUCAUUGGAACUGACCUGAAUCACCUCAUUGUUGGAAAGAGCCACGUCGUCAGAAUUGAUCAUCAUAUAGUCUUGUUGUUGCUGUGUACAAUGGCCUCUCUGAAAUCCUCCUGGUGGUCUUUUCUUACAGAACAAUAAUAUUCCAUAGCAUUCAUAUACCAUCACUUAUUCAGCCAUUCCCUAAUUGAUGGACAUCCAUUAAGUUUCCUGGAUCAAUUCUAAGGCAGGUUUCUAGUUUGAAGGGGAAUUUGGGUUCCUUCCAGUGGGUUCCUUAUUCACUCUACUAUUUUAGCACUGGAAGUUUAGGUCUUUUUUUUUAAUAUUAAGAUUCAAGCCAGUUUUUACACCCACCAAGAUUCUUCUAAAUUUCUGUUCACUUUCUGCCAUCAGUGUGGUACCAUCUGCAUAUCUGAGAUUGUUGAUAUUUCCUCUGGCAAACUUAAAUUCCAGCUUUUGAUUCUUCCAGUCUAGAAUUUCACACGAAGAACUCUUCAGACAAGUAAAAUAAAUAAGGGAACGGUGGACAGCCUUGUCAUACUCUGGUUUUUCCAAUUUUUGCCCAAUCAGUUGCGUGUUCAGUCCUAACUGUUACUUCUUGACCACAUACAAGUUCCUCAGGAGACAAGUGAGAUGAGCCGGUGCUCCCAUCUCUUUGGGGACUUGAUCACAUGUUCUGUGAGACCCUCAAUCACAAGCUUUAGUCAGUGAACCAGAAGGAGAUGCUUUUCUGAAGCUCCCUUGCUUUCUCCAAUGAGUUCUAAUGCCUCGGCUUUUUCAUUCUCGGUUAUAUAUUGCUGAAGGCCACCUUGCAGAACCCUAAGCAUGGCCUCGCUGCCAUUUGAAAUGAGUGCGAUGAGCAUGGCAAGCUGAGCGUCGUCCUUCUUUGGGACUGGGACGUGUAUCGAGCUUUUCUGGUCCAACGGCCACUGCUGAGUUUUCCAAAUUUGUUGGCAUUUGAAUAGAUUUCAGCAUUUUAAUAGCAUCAUCUUUUGGGUUCUUAAAUAGCUGAGUUGGAAUCCUAGCUCCUGCAGUAGCCUAAUGGUAUAGAAAUACUUCUGUGCCCUCAUCUGUGACAUGGAAAGUUGGAGGAAGACAGGGUCCGGGGGCACAGUAAUGACUUCGGUUUUGGACAGAAUUCAAGAUGUCUACUGACUAUGCAGCUCAAGGUGUCUCAAAGUCAGCUGAGGUGCAAGACUCGAAGUCAGGAGAGAAGUGGGAAAUGCCAGUGAAAACCGGCUGUGUCGGCUCUCACAGAGACCAGGAAAGCAAGGUAGAAAACAUCGAUGUAUGUGGUCAAGACGAGUUUAAUAUGUCUAUGCUCUCCCUAUUUAAGCCCUUCCUAUUUAAGCCACAAAAUUACUAAGGAAACACAAAGCAGACAAACCAAUCAGUGCAUGAAGGGGCAAUGCUUUGUGUACUAGUAGAAACAGGGCUUUCUCUUUAGAAACAGCUAGAUCCCCCCUGGCCAUCCUGAUUUAUGACACACCCCCAACACACCCGUUCCUAAUUCUUCUGUCUUUGCCCAUCUGCUGGCUGACAUUUAGGGAGGUUCAAGAGAGGUUCAGAGCCAGGGCAAGACAACCUGAAUCCUGCAUCUAAGCAGGUCUUACUAGGUAAGUACUGUUGCCUGGGCACAGAGAAGUUAGGGCAAGAUGGAUUUGAGAAUUAUUAGCGAAAAGAUGAUCAUUAAAUCCUUGGGAGCUGAUGAGAUCAUCAAGUGAGGUUGUAUAGAGGGAGAAAAGAUGAGCCAGGACAGAGCUCUGGGGGACACCUGCAGCUAGAGGUGUUAUCAGGAGGAAGAUCCAGCAAAGGAGACUGAGAAGGAGCAGUCAGAGAGGGAGGAGGAGGCUCCCCCAAACCCAGAGAGAUGAGGGAACCAAGGAGCAGAGAGACCAAGAGUGUCACAUGCAGAGACACAGGAAAGGAGAAGGACUGAGCAAAGGUCGUUAGAUUUGGCAAGAGAGUAAUCACCACUAACUCAACGGAUAUUUUAUUGAGCAACUAGGUUAGCUGACUUUUCCACUUCUGCCCCGAUCCCUUUGCCUCUUGCUCCGAGAGGUGACCUCUCAGGCAUUUGCUGUUUCUCCUCUUCAAAUCACUUUGUGGCCACUGGUUAAUUCCAUGCUGCCUACAAAUAAGCCAGUUUUCCCAUUUCUAAGAUCUGUCUCUCUCUCUGUCUCUCACUGUCUUUGUCUCUCUUUCUCUCUGUUUCUGUCUCUCUCACGCUCCCCCCCCCCAAACAAAAAACCUUGAGUGUACCCUAUCUUUAUCCAUUCUUUAUCCAUUCACAACCUCCCCGUUCGUCCUGCUUGCCACCUGACUUUUGGCGUUGACCUAAAACACGCUCGCUAAGGUCUUCAGCAAUCUGCUAAAGCCUCUUCCAUUCCAUAUUCUAUUAAAUUGCUCUGCUGUUUUUGAUAUCAAUGGGCAUUCACCUUUCGGGAUAAUCUGC
Molecule: long non-coding RNA, 11556 nt
Filed under: Sarcophilus harrisii (Tasmanian devil)
Lineage: Eukaryota; Metazoa; Chordata; Mammalia; Dasyuromorphia; Dasyuridae
Description: lncRNA (ENSSHAG00000030959.1)
Source: RNAcentral